UUGCCGCAAUGGGCGAAAGCCUGAACCAGCCAUGCCGCGUGUGUGAUGAAUGCCCUUUGGGUUGUAAAGCACUUUUAUCUGGGAAGAAUGGCCGCCAUUUAUGGUGGAAGCGACGGUACCAGAAGAAUAAGCACCGGCUAACUCCGUGCCAGCAGCCGCGGUAAUACGGAGGGUGCAAGCGUUAUCCGGAAUCACUGGGUUUAAAGGGUACGUAGGCUGUAAUAUAAGUCAGACGUCAAAGGCUGUGGCUAAACCACAGUACGCGUUAUGAAACUAUAUCACUUGAAUAUGUACGAGGUGCACGGAAUGCGUCAUGUAGCGGUGAAAUGCAUAGAUAUGACGUAGAACACCAAUUGCGAAGGCAGUGCACUAGGGCAUCAUUGACGCUGAGGUACGAAAGCGUGGGUAGCGAACAGGAUUAGAUACCCUGGUAGUCCACGCCCUAAACGAUGCUAACUGGUCAUUUAUCACUUGAGCAUAAGUGACUGAGGGAAACCAUUAAGUUAGCCACCUGGGGA
This 518-nucleotide ribosomal RNA is filed under the name uncultured Bacteroidota bacterium. RNAcentral's name for it is "bacterial SSU rRNA". It matches the Rfam family "Bacterial small subunit ribosomal RNA", at positions 364 to 879 of the family's 1533-position model. Lineage: Bacteria; Pseudomonadati; Bacteroidota. The record is from RNAcentral.